Molecule: long non-coding RNA, 1039 nt
Organism: Mauremys mutica (yellowpond turtle)
Lineage: Eukaryota; Metazoa; Chordata; Testudines; Geoemydidae
Exons: 5
Source: RefSeq, a predicted model, not a curated record
GGUGGCACUUAUCCCCUCUGCCAAGUAACUCAGCUGGAGAGAAUUAUCCCUUGAUUGCUGCUGAGGGAACAGAGUUGCACAGAGCUCAUCGGUGAGCCUGCAGGUGGAAGGGAGAUGAUUGGCUUCCCUUUGCAAAGGACAGAUCAAGAGGAAAAGCCUCUGUGUUUCCAGAAAGCAAAGAUGGCCUCAAGGAAGACCGUGACCUUCUCUUGGAGCAUGAUCUCUAUCAGCUUUGUCAUCUGGACUGCCCAGGCAUGAUCCUCCAGAGCAAGACUCAAACAGAACCAUUUGGGGACACUCCUGAGUCAUCUUGCAUCCCUUUCCUACAUGCUAAUAACUUCUUUGGUGUCCUGCCACUUGGAGGAUCCCCUCUCGAAGAGCAGUAAAGCCACAGCGGGGCCUCGUCACAAUGCUAAGCUGAGCCAAAAGGAGCAUGGGAUGCACUGGUUUGGAAGAGGGCAAGGACACAAGUGCCCAUCGACUAUGGAAACUGGACCGAAAUAAUUCAAAACCGCUGACCUUCAAAGAUACCAACGCUCACCUUUUUAGUGGUGCCCUUGGAGAGAUCAUCCCCAAAUGACUGCAAGCUGCAACAAAUGUGAUUUUAGAUUUGCAUAUAUCUGAUGUCAACCAGCAGGUUUCAGGAUACAAAAUACCAGGCCACACAUUGAAAUCAGCAGUAAAAUCUAGCCAAACAGAACAGCAAUAUAAACAAAGGGGCUGGAAGACAUUAGAACCCACAAGAGAAAAAAGCUGAAGUGGGCUGUAAAACCAUUCCAAACAGCCUCACCAUAUAACUGCCACAUAAUGCACCUUUACAAGUCACUUCCUCCAGUUUACAAAGUGUAUGUGGAAUUGUGAUAAAUACCAUCUCAAACAGAUUUACGCAAAACUGUAUAAACAAGACAACAUUUCUGUAGUGUGCCAGGUAAAACUGACAGGACAUGAGUAAUAAUGGGUCAUAAGAGACAGAUGGAAUAAGUCUGGUCUGAUAAAUGCAUGGUGCAAGUCACAGAGAAUAAACGUGUCAAUCUCCCUG